CGGUCCCAAAGUGCAACGGCAUCAGCUUGAGCCGUGCCCCAUGCUGCGGGAAAAAGGAGACCACGACAACCUCCUCUCCAAAAAGAAGGGACUAUCACAGUGAUACAGUCCAGUUGGCUACAAGGGAGCAAAUCACUGUUGUUGGGCUUGUCGGGAUGCACCACUGUAUCCACCGUAACCAUUUCCUUGAGUCCCAUAAUUACCAGAGGCUUGUGACGGAUCAGAUCUCCAUGCUGCGUUUCCAUACCCUGGAUUGCCAUUGGCAUCACCAUAGCCACUUCCCAUGUAACCGCCACCACUCCCUUGUAAUUCUCCCCCACCCUGGUUACCAGCAUUACUAUUCGGGACACUCCCAGAACGCCCUCCUACUGCCCCAUAACCAGAGGGAUUGCCAUAAGAUCCAUCACUUCCACCAUACCCACCAUAGCCAUAACCUUGAUUCCCAUACCCAGUAGCUCCACUAGGAGAUUGACCAGCAUGCGCUGAACCAGGACCACCGCUGCUGCCACCAGCACCCCAUGCUGCAGCAUUCCCAUAGCCCAUGGCACCAUAACCAGUGGGAGUUUGUGUGCCCCAUGAACUUCUAGGUGCACCCGGUGGACCACUUGCAUAGCCAGCAUUAGGUACAUUUGGGUUCCCAUAGGGGGUACCAGCAGGGCCACCAUACCCAGCGUUUGUACCACCAUAACUUCCAUAACCACCAUAACCAACACUGUUGCUGGAUGGACCAUAACCAUAACCAGAUGCGCCAUACCCAGAAGAACCAUAAGGUGUAAAGCCACUUCCAGGAUUCUGAGGCUGCAUGUAUCUAUUAGAUUCCAUACGACCUUCAAAUGCACUUGCAUUGCCACCAGAAGCACCAUAACCCUGAUAACCACCAAAACCGCCACCACCACCGCCACCACCCAUGCUACGACUACCUCCACCAGGAUUGGCAUCUUUAGGAAGAGCCCGUUUUACUUCCACCUGCUUACCAUUCAAAUCAUGAAAGGUCUUCUGUAAAACCCUGUCAACUGCAUCUUCAGUGUCAAAGGAGAUAAAGCCAAAUCCACGAGGUCGUUGAGUAUUCUGGUCGUACAUGAUUACAACAUCAGUAACAUGACCAUAAGCUUCAAAAUACUGACGAAAUCCAUCUUCAGUCAGGGUGGGGGGCAACCCUCCAACAAAUAUCUUCUUAGUCCUGAUAGUUCCACCACCCCCAUUGCUUCUGCCAGAAUUAGUAUUUCCAGAC
RNAcentral lists this long non-coding RNA (1231 nucleotides) under Citrus sinensis (sweet orange). RNAcentral describes it as "long non-coding RNA (CSIN_LNC003829)". Lineage: Eukaryota; Viridiplantae; Streptophyta; Magnoliopsida; Sapindales; Rutaceae. The record is from RNAcentral.